GUACACAUGCAAGUCGAGGGGCAGCAUGGUCUUAGCUUGCUAAGGCCGAUGGCGACCGCGCACGGGUGAGUAACACGUAUCCAACCUGCCGUCUACUCUUGGACAGCCUUCUGAAAGGAAGAUUAAUACAAGAUGGCAUCAUGAGUCCGCAUGUUCACAUGAUUAAAGGUAUUCCGGUAGACGAUGGGGAUGCGUUCCAUUAGAUAGUAGGCGGGGUAACGGCCCACCUAGUCUUCGAUGGAUAGGGGUUCUGAGAGGAAGGUCCCCCACAUUGGAACUGAGACACGGUCCAAACUCCUACGGGAGGCAGCAGUGAGGAAUAUUGGUCAAUGGGCGAGAGCCUGAACCAGCCAAGUAGCGUGAAGGAUGACUGCCCUAUGGGUUGUAAACUUCUUUUAUAAAGGAAUAAAGUCGGGUAUGGAUACCCGUUUGCAUGUACUUUAUGAAUAAGGAUCGGCUAACUCCGUGCCAGCAGCCGCGGUAAUACGGAGGAUCCGAGCGUUAUCCGGAUUUAUUGGGUUUAAAGGGAGCGUAGAUGGAUGUUUAAGUCAGUUGUGAAAGUUUGCGGCUCAACCGUAAAAUUGCAGUUGAUACUGGAUAUCUUGAGUGCAGUUGAGGCAGGCGGAAUUCGUGGUGUAGCGGUGAAAUGCUUAGAUAUCACGAAGAACUCCGAUUGCGAAGGCAGCCUGCUAAGCUGCAACUGACAUUGAGGCUCGAAAGUG
Molecule: ribosomal RNA, 722 nt
Filed under: Bacteroides sp. ES-38
Lineage: Bacteria; Pseudomonadati; Bacteroidota; Bacteroidia; Bacteroidales; Bacteroidaceae
Description: bacterial SSU rRNA
Rfam family: Bacterial small subunit ribosomal RNA
Source: RNAcentral